AACGAACGCUGGCGGCAGGCCUAACACAUGCAAGUCGAGCGGACCCUUCGGGGUUAGCGGCGGACGGGUGAGUAACGCGUGGGAAUAUGCCCUUCUCUACGGAAUAGUCCUGGGAAACUGGGGGUAAUACCGUAUACGCCCUUUGGGGGAAAGAUUUAUCGGGGAAGGAUUAGCCCGCGUUGGAUUAGGUAGUUGGUGGGGUAAUGGCCUACCAAGCCGACGAUCCAUAGCUGGUUUGAGAGGAUGAUCAGCCACACUGGGACUGAGACACGGCCCAGACUCCUACGGGAGGCAGCAGUGGGGAAUCUUAGACAAUGGGGGCAACCCUGAUCUAGCCAUGCCGCGUGAGUGAUGCAGGCCUUAGGGUUGUAAAGCUCUUUCAGCUGGGAAGAUAAUGACGGUACCAGCAGAAGAAGCCCCGGCUAACUCCGUG
RNAcentral lists this ribosomal RNA (433 nucleotides) under uncultured bacterium. RNAcentral describes it as "partial 16S ribosomal RNA". It matches the Rfam family "Bacterial small subunit ribosomal RNA", at positions 29 to 507 of the family's 1533-position model. The record is from RNAcentral.